This 354-nucleotide ribosomal RNA is filed under the name uncultured Lactobacillus sp. Its description in RNAcentral is "bacterial SSU rRNA". It matches the Rfam family "Bacterial small subunit ribosomal RNA", at positions 355 to 701 of the family's 1533-position model. Lineage: Bacteria; Bacillati; Bacillota; Bacilli; Lactobacillales; Lactobacillaceae. The record is from RNAcentral.
UAGGGAAUCUUCCACAAUGGACGAAAGUCUGAUGGAGCAACGCCGCGUGAAUGAAGAAGGCCUUCGGGUCGUAAAUUCUGUUGUCAGAGAAGAACGUGCGUGAGAGUAACUGUUCACGUAUUGACGGUAUCUGACCAGAAAGCCACGGCUAACUACGUGCCAGCAGCCGCGGUAAUACGUAGGUGGCAAGCGUUGUCCGGAUUUAUUGGGACGUAAAGGGAACGCAGGCGGUCUUUUAAGUCUGAUGUGAAAGCCUUCGGCUUAACCGAAGUAGUGCAUUGGAAACUGGAAGACUUGAGUGCAGAAGAGGAGAGUGGAACUCCAUGUGUAGCGGUGAAAUGCGUAGAUAUAUGG